CAGCGCCACGAGUGGUAACCGCGAUUAUUGGGCCUAAAGCGUCCGUAGCAGGUUUAGCAAAUCUUUUGUGAAAUUGUGCGGCUUAACCGUACAACGUGCAAGAGACACUACUAAACUCGAGACCGGGAGGAGUCAGAAGUAUUCCAGGGGGAGCGGUAAAAUGUUAUAAUCCCUGGAGGACUACCUAUGGCGAAGGCAUCUGACUAGAACGGAUCUGACUGUGAGGGACGAAAGCCAGGGGAGCGAACCGGAUUAGAUACCCGAGUAGUCC
This 271-nucleotide ribosomal RNA is filed under the name uncultured archaeon. RNAcentral's name for it is "partial 16S ribosomal RNA". It matches the Rfam family "Archaeal small subunit ribosomal RNA", at positions 477 to 747 of the family's 1478-position model. The record is from RNAcentral.